Molecule: ribosomal RNA, 409 nt
Filed under: bacterium
Lineage: Bacteria
Also listed under: 1 other name
Description: partial 16S ribosomal RNA
Rfam family: Bacterial small subunit ribosomal RNA
Source: RNAcentral
UGGGGAAUAUUGCACAAUGGGCGAAAGCCUGAUGCAGCGACGCCGCGUGAGGGAUGACGGCCUUCGGGUUGUAAACCUCUUUCAGCAGGGACGAAGCGCAAGUGACGGUACCUGCAGAAGAAGCACCGGCUAACUACGUGCCAGCAGCCGCGGUAAUACGUAGGGUGCAAGCGUUGUCCGGAAUUACUGGGCGUAAAGAGUUCGUAGGCGGUUUGUCGCGUCGUUUGUGAAAACCAGCAGCUCAACUGCUGGCUUGCAGGCGAUACGGGCAGACUUGAGUACUGCAGGGGAGACUGGAAUUCCUGGUGUAGCGGUGAAAUGCGCAGAUAUCAGGAGGAACACAGGUGGCGAAGGCGGGUCUCUGGGCAGUAACUGACGCUGAGGAACGAAAGCGUGGGUAGCGAACAGG